UAUGAAUUUUUAUUUUCAGAAAUAUUUCUUUGAAAUGUCUCUUUUACUUCGUGUAAACGUUAUGUAGUUCGUGUAGGUAGUCCUUCAUUUCAUAGGCAAAUAGGGUAGAUAGACAUCAGUGGAUAAAGUAGAUUUUCUAUUAGCAUUUUACAGUCAGUAAUGAGAACAUAAAAUGAAUGUGUAUUUGAAUCAUAAUUACUAAAAUAUCAGACAUUGUGAUUAAAAAAUAAAGAUAUCUUUCUUAUUUUACUUAAUUACUUAGUAAAGAAGGGUUCAGUUUUAAUAUUUCUAGACUGAACUCUAUGUUUAUUUCUUUUGGUAUUCCAGUGUAUGACUCCUUAAUUAGAUUUGGGGGUAAAGCCCAGAAAAAUUGGUCCAUUAUCCAAUUUUUAAUGUUUGACCGUUGGAAUUUAAAACAUAUUUUCUUAACAUGCCAGUAGUUCUUAACUUGAUUCUUAAAUUAUUAAAGUGCAACACGCUGAGAUUGCUAAAUUGACUUUUUUUUUGCAAUACUUGGAACAUUUUCCCCAGCACCAAAUACCUAUUUUAAGCU
This 553-nucleotide long non-coding RNA is filed under the name Bos taurus (domestic cattle). RNAcentral's name for it is "long non-coding RNA NONBTAT027042". The record is from RNAcentral. Lineage: Eukaryota; Metazoa; Chordata; Mammalia; Artiodactyla; Bovidae.